This 475-nucleotide ribosomal RNA is filed under the name uncultured bacterium. RNAcentral describes it as "partial 16S ribosomal RNA". It matches the Rfam family "Bacterial small subunit ribosomal RNA", at positions 28 to 507 of the family's 1533-position model. The record is from RNAcentral.
GAUGAACGCUGGCGGCGUGCUUAACACAUGCAAGUCGAACGGGAUCCCAGGAGCGUUUUUCGGUUUUUGGUGGGCGUGGCGAACGGGUGCGUAACACGUGAGUAACCUGUCCUUUUCUUUGGGAUAAGCUCCUGAAAGGGAGUUUAAUACCUUAUGUCCUGUCUGCCUCGCGUGGGGGGGGUGGGUAAGCUUUUGUCGGUGAAGGGUGGGCUCGCGGGCUAUCGGGUUGGUGGUGGGGUAAUGGCUUACCAAGGCUUUGGCCGGUCGCCGGGCUGGGAGGGUGAGCGGCCACGUUGCGACGCAGAUACGUGCCAGACGCCUACGGGAGGCAUCAGGGGCGAAGAUCGCACGACGGACGGAGGCCUGCUGCGUCGGCGCCGAGGGCGGUAGGACUGCCUACGGGUUGUAAACCGCUUUAGGCGGUGACUUGGGGUGUGUGACGGGUAUGGGUUAAUAAGCACCGGCUAACUACGUG